UUGGCCGGGUCACGGGCGCAGCUGCCUACCACUGCCGCACCGCACCUGCGCUUCUCAGCCCUUGGGCGGUCAGUGGGACCCGGCGCCACGGAGCAGGGGGCGGUGCCCGUUGCGGAGGCUCGGGCCGCGCGGGAGCCCACCAUGGGGGGGGCUCGGGAAUGGCGGGCUGCAGGCCCCGAGCCCUGCCCCUCUGGGAGGCGGCUGAAACCCGGUGAGAAUUCGAGCGUGGCGCGGGUGGGCCAGCAGUGUUUGGGGACCCGGAGCACUCUCCACAGCUGCUGGUCCAGGUGCUAAGUCCCUCACUGCCCAGCACCUGCAGCGCCGACCGGCCGCUCUUGAGUGCGGGGCCUGCAGAGCCCACGCCCACCCGGAACUCGCGCUGGCCCGUGAGCGCCGUGCCGCAGCCCCGGUUCCCGCCCGCGCCUCUCCCUCCACACUUCGCCGCAAGCAGAGGGAGCCGGCUCCGGCCUCAGCUGGCCCAGAGAGGGGCUCCCUCAGUGCAGUGGCGAGCUGAAGGGCUCCUCAAGGGCGGCUGGAGUGGACGCUGAGGCCGAGGAGACGCCAAGAGCAAACGAGGGCUGCUAGUACAUUGUCACCUCUCACUGGAUGCAAGAGAAGAUAAGGAAGACAAGAUCUCAACCACUUUCAGCAAAGCUUUGCGGAGAAUGCAACAUCCUUCAAGACACCAUGAAGCUCCACGCAUCUGGUCAUCUUGUUUCUUCAGGGAAUAAAUUUAUUGUUCUCUGCUUCAGGUGACUGGAGGAGACAAAGUGAUCCCCCAUUUAUGUCUCUGCCUCUACCUUCCCUGCUGCUACCUGCAACUCUCUGGUGUCUUUGGGGGGUUCCAACUCCUUGACGGGGAGGGCGAGUUCCCUGGGCAAUUGGCCAUCAGUGCACCCUGCCUCUAUUGGGAAGAGCUCUUCUACCAGGCUGUUCCAUUCUCACAAGUAAGCCUAAAAGAGAUGGCUCCCUCAGUGGUUUACCUCUGGUCCUAUCAAUCUGAUGAUGAGGCCACUUAGUUCUAAGUAAAGUGACAGAUGACCAAGGACUUUCUUUGAAGAGACAUUGGGUUGGCCAGGCGCGGUGGCUCUUGCUUGUAAUCCCAGCACUUUGGGAGGCCGA
Molecule: long non-coding RNA, 1122 nt
Filed under: Homo sapiens (human)
Lineage: Eukaryota; Metazoa; Chordata; Mammalia; Primates; Hominidae
Description: HSALNT0101344
Source: RNAcentral